Molecule: ribosomal RNA, 578 nt
Filed under: uncultured bacterium
Lineage: Bacteria
Description: bacterial SSU rRNA
Rfam family: Bacterial small subunit ribosomal RNA
Source: RNAcentral
CGGACGGGUGAGUAACGCGUGAGGAACCUACCUUGGAGAGGGGAAUAACACUCCGAAAGGAGUGCUAAUACCGCAUGAUGCAGUUGGGUCGCAUGGCUCUGACUGCCAAAGAUUUAUCGCUCUGAGAUGGCCUCGCGUCUGAUUAGCUAGUAGGCGGGGUAACGGCCCACCUAGGCGACGAUCAGUAGCCGGACUGAGAGGUUGACCGGCCACAUUGGGACUGAGACACGGCCCAGACUCCUACGGGAGGCAGCAGUGGGGAAUAUUGGGCAAUGGGCGCAAGCCUGACCCAGCAACGCCGCGUGAAGGAAGAAGGCUUUCGGGUUGUAAACUUCUUUUGUCGGGGACGAAACAAAUGACGGUACCCGACGAAUAAGCCACGGCUAACUACGUGCCAGCAGCCGCGGUAAUACGUAGGUGGCAAGCGUUAUCCGGAUUUACUGGGUGUAAAGGGCGUGUAGGCGGGAUUGCAAGUCAGAUGUGAAAACUGGGGGCUCAACCUCCAGCCUGCAUUUGAAACUGUAGUUCUUGAGUGCUGGAGAGGCAAUCGGAAUUCCGUGUGUAGCGGUGAAAUGCGU